This 254-nucleotide ribosomal RNA is filed under the name uncultured bacterium. RNAcentral describes it as "partial 16S ribosomal RNA". It matches the Rfam family "Bacterial small subunit ribosomal RNA", at positions 524 to 776 of the family's 1533-position model. The record is from RNAcentral.
UACAGAGGUCCCAAGCGUUGUUCGGCUUCACUGGGCGUACAGGGUGCGCAGGUGGUUUGGCAAGUUUGACGUGAAAGCCCCGGGCUUAACCCGGGAACGGCGUUGAAAACUGCUUGAACUGGAGGAUUGGAGGGGGGACUGGAAUUCUUGGUGUAGCAGUGAAAUGCGUAGAUAUCAAGAGGAACACCAGUGGCGAAGGCGAGUCCCUGGACAAUACCUGACACUGAGGCACGAAAGCCAAGGGAGCAAACAGU